This 494-nucleotide ribosomal RNA is filed under the name uncultured bacterium. Its description in RNAcentral is "partial 16S ribosomal RNA". It matches the Rfam family "Bacterial small subunit ribosomal RNA", at positions 28 to 507 of the family's 1533-position model. The record is from RNAcentral.
GACGAACGCUGGCGGCGUGCUUAACACAUGCAAGUCGAGCGGAAAGGCCUGCUUUCCCUUGUGGAUUGCGGGUACUCGAGUGGCGAACGGGUGAGUAACACGUGAGUGAUCUGCCCCCAACUUGGGUAUAAGCCUGGGAAACUGGGUCUAAUUCCCGAUAGGACUGCAGGGUGGUGCCUGUGGUGGAAAACGAUUUUCUAGUGGUUGGGGAUGAGCUCGCGGCCUAUCAGCUUGUUGGUGGGGUAAUGGCCUACCAAGGCGGCGACGGGUAGCCGGCCUGAGAGGGUGGACGGCCACAUUGGGACUGAGAUACGGCCCAGACUCCUACGGGAGGCAGCAGUGGGGAAUAUUGCACAAUGGGCGGAAGCCUGAUGCAGCGACGCCGCGUGGGGGAUGACGGCCUUCGGGUUGUAAACUCCUUUCGACCGCGAGGAAGCCACCUGGUUGGAAGGGUGGCGACGGUAGUGGUAGAAGAAGCACCGGCUAACUACGUG